GAUUAGCCAUGCGAGUCGAGAGGGUUCGGGCCCUCGGCGGACGGCUCAGUAACACGCUGGUAUAAUCUAACCUAAGGUGGAGGAUAACCUCGGGAAACUGAGAAUAAUACUCCAUAGGUCUAGGAUGCUGGAAUGCACUUAGGCUGAAAACUUCGGUGCCCUAGGAUGAGUCUGCGGACUAUCAGGUUGUAGUCAGGGUAAAGACCUGACUAGCCUACGACGGAUACGGGUUGUGAGAGCAAUAACCCGGAGAUGAUAUCUGAGACACGAUAUCAGGCCCUACGGGGCGCAGCAGGCGCGAAACCUUCACACUGCGCGAAAGCGCGAUGAGGGAAUCCCAAGUGCUUGCACGUAAGUGUAAGCUGUUUUUAUGUCUAAAAAGCAUAGAGAGUAAGAGCUGGGUAAGACGGGUGCCAGCCGCCGCGGUAAUACCUGCAGCUCGAGUGGUGGUCGCUAUUAUUGGGCCUAAAACGUUCGUAGCCGGUUUGUUAAAUGCCUAGGUAAAUAGUAUAGCUUAACUAUACGAAUUCUGGGUAGACUGUCAAACUUGAGAUCGGGAGAGGCUAGAGGUACUCCUGGGGUAGAGGUGAAAUUCUGUAAUCCUAGGGGGACCACCAGUGGCGAAGGCGUCUAGCUAGAACGAGUCUGACGGUGAGGGACGAAGCCCUGGGGCGCAAACGGGAUUAGAUACCCCGGUAGUCCAGGGUGUAAACGCUGCUUGCUUGAUGUUAGUCGGGCUCUGAGCCCGAUUAGUGUCGGAGAGAAGUUGUUUAGCAAGCUGCCUGGGAAGUACGGUCGCAAGGCUGAAACUUAAAGGAAUUGGCGGGGGAGCACAAGGGGCG
This 842-nucleotide ribosomal RNA is filed under the name uncultured archaeon. RNAcentral describes it as "bacterial SSU rRNA". It matches the Rfam family "Archaeal small subunit ribosomal RNA", at positions 43 to 890 of the family's 1478-position model. The record is from RNAcentral.